Long non-coding RNA from Sphaeramia orbicularis (orbiculate cardinalfish), 310 nucleotides. RefSeq lists it as uncharacterized. The record is from RefSeq and is a predicted model, not a curated record. NCBI's taxonomy places the organism in Eukaryota, Metazoa, Chordata, Actinopteri, Kurtiformes, Apogonidae. The transcript is spliced from 3 exons.
UCUAAAUUGGACCUCAGAACGAGUGCUGGGAAUAGAAACAUUUAUGGUACAGAAAGUUUCAGGGUGCAUAGCAGUAGUGAAAUCUGGACGUUACAUUUUUUAUAGAACAGGAAAUCGUCAACUUUUCCCAACGCUGACACGUUGAGCCCAAAAGGAAACGGUACUUUACACUGUAAAAACAUGUAAAAAACAUUUGCACAACUGCAUAGACCAAAUGCAUUUAAGUCGAUCAGCCGUUUUCUCGUGUUUAUAUCGACCUUGUAUAAACUGACAAAUACAAACAGUAACAUUUACAGCCUCGGUAAUGUAU